This 440-nucleotide ribosomal RNA is filed under the name uncultured bacterium. Its description in RNAcentral is "bacterial SSU rRNA". It matches the Rfam family "Bacterial small subunit ribosomal RNA", at positions 8 to 428 of the family's 1533-position model. The record is from RNAcentral.
AGAGUUUGAUUCUGGCUCAGGAUGAACGCUGGCGGCGUGCCUAACACAUGCAAGUCGAACGAAGCGCGCGGACGGAAUUCCCUCGGGAAGGAAGGCCGCGCGACUGAGUGGCGGACGGGUGAGUAACGCGUGGGCAACCUGCCCUGCACAGGGGGACAACAGCCGGAAACGGCUGCUAAUACCGCAUAAGCGCACAGCUUCGCAUGAAGCGGUGUGAAAAGCUGCGGCGGUGCAGGAUGGGCCCGCGUCUGAUUAGCUGGUUGGCGGGGCAACGGCCCACCAAGGCGACGAUCAGUAGCCGGCCUGAGAGGGUGGACGGCCACAUUGGGACUGAGACACGGACCAGACUCCUACGGGAGGCAGCAGUGGGGAAUAUUGCACAAUGGGGGAAACCCUGAUGCAGCGACGCCGCGUGAGCGAAGAAGUAUUUCGGUAUGUAA